Molecule: ribosomal RNA, 250 nt
Filed under: uncultured prokaryote
Description: partial 16S ribosomal RNA
Rfam family: Bacterial small subunit ribosomal RNA
Source: RNAcentral
UACGGAGGAUGCGGGCGUUAUCCGGAUUCAUUGGGUUUAAAGGGUGCGCAGGCGGCCGUGCAAGUCAGCGGUGAAAGCCCGGGGCCCAACCCCGGGAGUGCCGUUGAUACUGUACGGCUGGAAUGCGGUCGAGGCGAGCGGAACGUGGCGUGUAGCGGUGAAAUGCGUAGAUAUGCCACAGAACGCCGAUAGCGAAGGCAGCUCGCCAGGCCUGCAUUGACGCUCGGGCGCGAAAGCGUGGGGAUCGAAC